This 96-nucleotide small nuclear RNA is filed under the name Peromyscus maniculatus bairdii (prairie deer mouse). The record is from RNAcentral. Lineage: Eukaryota; Metazoa; Chordata; Mammalia; Rodentia; Cricetidae.
AUUCCGAUACUACUAAAAACUGGAAUGAUACUGAGAAGAUUAGCACGGCCCCUGUAUAAAGAUGACACACAAAUUCACAAAGUGUUCGUAUUAUUU